RNAcentral lists this ribosomal RNA (556 nucleotides) under uncultured bacterium. RNAcentral describes it as "partial 16S ribosomal RNA". It matches the Rfam family "Bacterial small subunit ribosomal RNA", at positions 355 to 901 of the family's 1533-position model. The record is from RNAcentral.
UGGGGAAUAUUGGACAAUGGGCGAAAGCCUGAUCCAGCCAUGCCGCGUGUGUGAAGAAGGUCUUCGGAUUGUAAAGCACUUUAAGUUGGGAGGAAGGGCAGUAAAUUAAUACUUUGCUGUUUUGACGUUACCGACAGAAUAAGCACCGGCUAACUCUGUGCCAGCAGCCGCGGUAAUACAGAGGGUGCAAGCGUUAAUCGGAAUUACUGGGCGUAAAGCGCGCGUAGGUGGUUCGUUAAGUUGGAUGUGAAAUCCCCGGGCUCAACCUGGGAACUGCAUUCAAAACUGACGAGCUAGAGUAUGGUAGAGGGUGGUGGAAUUUCCUGUGUAGCGGUGAAAUGCGUAGAUAUAGGAAGGAACACCAGUGGCGAAGGCGACCACCUGGACUGAUACUGACACUGAGGUGCGAAAGCGUGGGGAGCAAAACAGGAUUAGAUACCCUGGUAGUCCACGCCGUAAACGAUGUCAACUAGCCGUUGGGAGCCUUGAGCUCUUGAGUGGCGCAGCUAACGCAUUAAGUUGACCGCCUGGGGAGUACGGCCGCAAGGUUAAAAGC